UUCAAGAUGUGUCAGCUGAAUUGGCAAAUAACAUAGUGGUGCAAGGGACAUGUGCAUCACAAGAAGUUAUGUUAAAUGUGGAUGACAAUAAUCAGCUCACAACCACGUGUGUAUGGUGUGGAAUAGAGUUUAACCACGAUGCUGUUGAUUCUGAAAUACAAUCAGAUUCUGUUGGAUUCAUGUGUCCAGUUUGCAAGGCAAAAAUAUCUGGUCAAAUCAAUGUGUUGGACAGUGGAUCACCAAAUGCUGGCCAUUUUUAGACUG
This 264-nucleotide long non-coding RNA is filed under the name Trifolium pratense (red clover). Its description in RNAcentral is "long non-coding RNA (TPRA_LNC000532)". Lineage: Eukaryota; Viridiplantae; Streptophyta; Magnoliopsida; Fabales; Fabaceae. The record is from RNAcentral.